Ricinus communis (castor bean) is the source of this 107-nucleotide non-coding RNA. The record is from Rfam. Lineage: Eukaryota; Viridiplantae; Streptophyta; Magnoliopsida; Malpighiales; Euphorbiaceae.
UAUCCAUGGUGUGGACAUUGUUGUAAAAGUGAUUUGAAUCGAUCUCAUGCUUCAUGAAAGGAUUCAAUAUCCUUUUGAUAAAAGUUAAAAAUUUCAGCCCUUAAUUU